AACCAAAACAAUCAUCAGCCUUCGAUUUGGGAAGAAAAACAUCAAGAAAUCCUAGAUUACUGUGAAAAUACGAGCACCCACCCAAAUCUUAAGAGAGCCAUGCAAUCAAAACGACAAAGAUGGCCAUCAAAGCACAAUCUCCAGCCAAAACGUUAACCAGGGAGGAUCAACCCAUCGUCGAUCAGUCGCCACUGCCGUCAAUGCUACUAUCGGAACCUCCUCAACCCAGUAAGUAUCUUCGCGCAAUGCGAAACCCUCCUGUGCAAUCGCAUGGGCUACCUUAUUGCAAUUUCUAUUUGCAUGUAGAAACAGAACCUUCAUGAAAUGAUUCACUUGUGUUCUAGCAUCUGAUAUAUAUGCACUAUUAUGAGAUUUAUCUUCCUUUGCACCAUUAAUAUUUGAAAUGACUGUGCGAGAAUCCCCUUCAACUUCAAUCAUGGUGAAACCCAUCUCACGCGCAAAUUUUAGAGCCUGAACACAAGCUAAUGCUUCUGCCGAGAAAGCAUCAGGAUUCCUUGGGGGAGUACACUUGGGCAACUGAAUGAUUAAUCUGCACAGCUUGUUCUCCUAAUCUUCUUGUUUCGCGCAUUCCAGAUUGCCCAAAUAGCCACAAUAAUCAUUCUACAGUCAGGACCAGACGUUGUAAUUACAUGUGAAACAGUUUCAGGUUCGGCUUGACAUCUAGGACAAAUAGGAGUGGCUGCAACACGCUUCGUAUAGAUUCACUUAAGUAGGCACCUAGUUAUGUAAUAAUCUCCAGGUCACGAUUUUGAUCUUAGAAGGGACCGGAGUGUUCCAUAGUUUCUUGUAAAUUGUUCUAUCGUCAGCAUUAGGAAUAGUCAUCAUAGGGUCCGUAUUUAGAAGUCUAUAUCCACUCCGCACUGUAUACUCCCCUGAAUACUUCGCUUGCCAUACCACAUCAUCCUCUUGAGAGCUAUCAGAUAAAAGGUUGCACAGAAUUCGCUCCGAGUUUGAAGCUUCGAAAAUCUCAGUAAUAAUAGAGCCACCAAUUCUAUUAGGAGUUUCUAAAUUCCAGUGCAAUGUACAAAAUAAUUUUUCAUAUUGAAACUAUGUUAAGUUAUUUAUAUUUAGAAA
Long non-coding RNA from Gossypium raimondii (Peruvian cotton), 1095 nucleotides. RefSeq lists it as uncharacterized. The record is from RefSeq and is a predicted model, not a curated record. Lineage: Eukaryota; Viridiplantae; Streptophyta; Magnoliopsida; Malvales; Malvaceae. The transcript is spliced from 4 exons.